CUACGGGUCGCAGCAGUCACGAAUCUUCCUCAAUGGCCGAAAGGCUGAAGGAGCAAUGCCGCGUGUAUGAAGACGCCUUUCGGGGUGUAAAAUACUUUUAACUGGGAAGAAACAAUGACGGUACCAGUUGAAUAAGGGGCUGCUAACCUCGUGCCAGCAGCAGCGGUAAUACGAGGGCCCCAAGCGUUAUCCGGAUUUACUGGGCGUAAAGGGUCCGUAGGUGGUUUGUAACAUCUCCUGUUAAAUCUUCAAGCUCAGCUUGGAGGCCGCGGGAGAUAUGGACAAACUAGAGGUCGGAAGAGGCAAGUGGAAUUGCUGGUGUAGGGGUUAAAUCCGUUAAUAUCAGCAGGAACACCAAAUGCGUAGGCAACUUGCUAGGACGAUCCUGACACUGAGGGACGAAAGCGUGGGGAGCGAAUGGGAUUAGAUACCCUGGUAGUC
This 441-nucleotide ribosomal RNA is filed under the name uncultured bacterium. RNAcentral's name for it is "partial 16S ribosomal RNA". It matches the Rfam family "Bacterial small subunit ribosomal RNA", at positions 339 to 795 of the family's 1533-position model. The record is from RNAcentral.